CAGUCGCCGCGGGAAUACAGAGGGUGCGAGCGUUAAUCGGAUUUACUGGGCGUAAAGCGUGCGUAGGCGGCUAAUUGAGUCGGAUGUGAAAUCCCCGAGCUUAACUUGGGAAUUGCAUUCGAUACUGGUUAGCUAGAGUGUGGGAGAGGAUGGUAGAAUUCCAGGUGUAGCGGUGAAAUGCGUAGAGAUCUGGAGGAAUACCGAUGGCGAAGGCAGCCGUCUGGCCUAACACUGACGCUGAGGUACGAAAGCAUGGGGAGCAAACAGGAUUAGAUACCCCAGUAGUCCCUGUCUCUUAUAC
This 301-nucleotide ribosomal RNA is filed under the name uncultured bacterium. Its description in RNAcentral is "partial 16S ribosomal RNA". It matches the Rfam family "Bacterial small subunit ribosomal RNA", at positions 509 to 807 of the family's 1533-position model. The record is from RNAcentral.